AAACUCUAAAAAACAAUGACAAGAAUUUUAAAAUAGUAGUCUUAAGAGCAGUACUUUUGGUAGCAAUAAAGAACCUUUUCACAUUUGUCUGUAAACAAAGUUCUUGGGGUUAUGUUUCUUUCUAAGACAUAAAGUCAGUGUUCAGGAUAACUUAUGUUUAGGAGUGUACUAUGGCUGCCUUCUUCAAGGUAUGAUGGAGAUACCUACUGAUCGAUCGAUUGAUCUAGAAUUAUUGUUAGACUAACCCUCCCUCCAAAAAUAUCCAUAAAAGUUGGAAUACAAAAAUGCCUGUUUGAAGGAAAAAAAAAAACCUGAAGGCUGUUCUGCGUAUUUCUCCCAUAAGGUAUGUGACAAUUACUGAAUGUGCACACACAAAGCAAAACUCAGAGAAAUCAAGCAGCAAGCAACUCCUAUGCAAGUACAAAGCUAAACAGAGAACUGCUUAGUCUCAUAAUGACAGCAAGAAAAAAAUCUGAAUCCAGAGUCUGUCAGAGAAGACAGACUGUACAAAUGGUUGAUGUUCUAGGAAUGAGGGCAAACUGGGAAUAGAUCAGUUUUGACAGGAUAGAAUGAUCUACCCAUAUUCAAUCCAGAGCCUCUAUAAACUCGUCUAGAACCUACACACAUUUUUACCAUAAAACGUCCAGUAUUCAAUUAAAAAAUUGCCAGGCAUCCCGGAAAGCAAGACCAAAUGACUAAAAACUAAGAGAAAAAAAAUGCAUCAGGAAUAGAGCGUUGCUCUUUUCAGCCAGCACCAAGUGAUGGGCAUCUGUUGGGAUAACUGGCACAAGCCCUGCAACACCAGGGGCAAGAGAAAGCCCUUCCACAAGAAGCAGAAGUAUGAGCUGGGAUGCUCUGCCCCAUACACACAGUCCCAAUCUAGGGAAGCAAUAAGAAGUACCCUGCCUUGAGGCUGGGUGUGAGAAUUUCCCCUGGUGCUCUGAGUGUUGGAAGCACCAAAGAGGCAUUAUUGAUACUGUCUAUAAAGGAUCCAACAAUGAAUUAGUAGUCCACACCAAGACCCUGGUGAGGAACUGUACUGUGCUCAUUGACAGCACACCAUCCUGACAAUGGUAUGAUUCCCACUAUGUACUACCUCUGGGCUGCAAGAAGGGGGUUAGGUUGACUCCCCAGGAGGAAGAGAUUUUAAACAAAAAAGAAUCAAAGAAAAUUCAGAAGAAAUAUAAUGAAAGAAAAAAGCAAGCAACAAUGAGCAGUCUUUUGGAGGAGCAGUUCUACCAGAGCAGGCCUCUUGGGUGCAUUGCUUGAAGACCAGGCCAGUGUGGCUGAGCGGAGGGCUAUGUGCCAAAGGGCAAGAAACUGGGGUUCUAUUUGAGGAAAAUCAAGGUCCAGAAAGCAAAUAAAUCAUCCUCCCUAUCUUCAACUCAUGUAAUAAAGAUGUUUACUGUUGAAAAGAAAAGAAAAGAAAAAGAAAAGAGAAAAGAAAAGAAAAAGAUCCUCAGCUGAUCCACAUCUGGAGCUAUCAGAUAGGGAUAUUAAAAGAACAAUGAGUAAUAAAAAUAAAUGAAAAGAUGGAGAAUUUCAUGAGAACUAAAAUCUUUAAUCCUAGAACUGGAAAAUACAGUAACUGAAAAUAUAGACUUAAUAGAUGAAUUUAAUAGCAGAUUAGGCACAACAGAAGAAAUCAAUGAACCAGAAAAAAUACUUAGAUUGAAACUCAGAAAAAAAAGGGAUAAAAAUGCAGAAAAGCAUGGAUAGGGUAAAAGGGUUUAAAACAUAUAUUGGAGUCCCAGAAAGACAGGAGAGAGAGAAUGGGGCAGAAGAGUAUUUGAAGAAAUUAUGGUCAAGAAUUUCCCAAAAAUGAUAAAAGAAGCCAAGCCAAGAUUCAGGAAGUUCUAUAUGACAGAGAAUAGGAUAAAUACAAAGAAAAUCAUACCCAGGCACAUCAGUAUAAUUCCAAAAACAAAGACAGUAAUUAUCAGACAAUUAAAUCCAAUUAUAUGCUGCUGACAAGAAAUGCAAUUCAUAUUUAAGGAUAAAAAUCAUACCCAGGCACAUCAGUAUAAUUCCAAAAACAAAGACAAUAAUUAUCAGACAAUUAAAUCCAAUUAUACACUGCUGACAAGAAAUGCAAUUUAUAUUUAAGGACAAAGAAAGGUUUAAAGUAGAAAAAUAUAGAAAAAGAUACACCAUAACAUUUUACCAAAAGAAAGCUGGUGUAGCUAUAGUAGUAAAUUCAGACAUUUACUAGAGAUGAGACAGAUAUUCAAUAAAAGGAAAGGAUAAAUUCAACAGGAAUUUAUAACAACCCUAAAUUUUGAUAUACCUAUAAUACAUCUUCAAAAUAUUUAAAGCAAAAACUGGUAAGCUACAAGGAAAAGGGGUAUCUCCUGCAAUAACUGACUGAACAAACAGAACUCCUACCAAAUCAGUAAAGAUAUAGAUUGAACAAUACAACAAAUCUGACCUGAUAUUCAACAUAAAACCCAAGAAAUUCAGAAAACACAUUCUUUUGAAGUCUAAAUGGAACAUUUACCAAAACUGAACACAUGCUGAGCCAUAAUGAAAGUCUCAACAAAUUCCAAAGAACUGAAAUCAUUCAGAAUAUGUUCUUUAACCAUAAUGGAAUUAAGCUAAAAUCAGUAACAAAAAGAAAACUAGAAAAUGCCCAAGUAGUUGUAAAUUAAAUGAUGCAUUAAUAAAUGAUUGAUCCAUGGAUCAAAGAAAUCAGAUUGGAAUUAUAAUAUCCUGAAGUGAAUGAUAAUGAAAAAGACAUAUCAAAAUCUGUGAAAUUCAAUUAAAGCAUUGCUGAAAGGGAAAGUUUGCCUUUAAUUCUAAGUAAUUCACGAGAUGGGCAGAAAAUCAAUGAUGUAAAGAUCCACCUGAAGAAGGUAAACCACAAAUAACAA
This is an RNA transcript of Zalophus californianus (California sea lion), 2870 nucleotides long. It is a transcript of the gene named 40S ribosomal protein S8-like, with no coding region annotated. The transcript has 2 exons. The record is from RefSeq and is a predicted model, not a curated record. NCBI's taxonomy places the organism in Eukaryota, Metazoa, Chordata, Mammalia, Carnivora, Otariidae.